RNAcentral lists this long non-coding RNA (12626 nucleotides) under Olea europaea (common olive). RNAcentral's name for it is "long non-coding RNA (OEUR_LNC015116)". Lineage: Eukaryota; Viridiplantae; Streptophyta; Magnoliopsida; Lamiales; Oleaceae. The record is from RNAcentral.
GGGUAGCUUCCUCAUGACGAUGCCUCCUUAAAUAGGGCAACACGUUGAGAAGGGAACCAUGCAAUAGAUGGGUGGCUCCACUAUGCUGACACGUCUUCAAAUAGGGCAAUAGGGUAAGGAUGUCAUGACACCCCUAAAAUACUUGGUUGGCUCCCCUAUGCCUUGUACUUUCAAGUAAGGUCAAAUGUUAAGGAUAGAACCCCUUCCAAUAGUCGGGUGGCACCCCUAUGUCAAUGCGUUGCUUAUCAUGAUGAGUUUUGGAUAGCUACGAGGACAAUUCUUUUACAAGGGCCAAAAAAUUCACUUUAUAAUAUUAGUUAUAGUAAGACAAAUUCACAUAUUUUUUACUAGAAAAAUCAUAGAAAAAUGAUCGAAUCUUUGGACGCUUCGAAAAUACUAUGAGGUGCUUGGAAAUGAUCAGGGAGGAAGAUAAGAUACUUUGCUGCACUCAUUGAUCAAGUGCCUUCUAAAGGAACUAUUACAUAAGAAAGAAAAAAUCACAAAAAUUCUGUUUCAUGAUAAAGAUGAGCUGAUUUCUAACUCUGUAGCUUAGAAAGAAUUCAAUUCCUUUUGCGAACUUCCCAAGACAAUGCCUAAGUAAGAGGCUAGAAAAUACUUGCUUAAUUUGGACCACUAGACAAAUACGUGUACAUAUAGCUUGAUCUACUGGCGCCCCCUUCAAGAAGAAAAACUUAGGAGAUGCGAGAAAAUACCUCUUCCGUUUCUUCAUGGGCAGGGACCCAACCGUUAAUUUUUUCUUUGCUUCUAGUUAUUUUUUCUACGAGAAUAAGACCUUUUCAAGGGAAAGUACCAAUCCUCUUGUGAAAUGGGUAGACUUUUGACAUAUCUUUUACUAUGGGAUUCGCUCAUGGUUAAAGCAUUAUUUUCCAUAGAUGGGGCUAAUCUAUUGACCUCUGAAUCUAAUUAGAACUAGAGUGUCAACAGAUGCCGCCUCCACUCCUCUCUAAGUGCAUGUAACAUAUGCACUUGGAAUGUACGCAUUAGACGCGCAAGAUCGAAACAUCUCCAAACACAAACGACGGAGGAGGUCGUGAUCUUAAGUUUUCCAAUGCUCGUUAAAAUGAAGAAGAAAACAUGAGAGUCGGGUGAGAGAAUUAUCAAGGUUGCAAUUGCCUGUAACAAACUACUAUUUACACACACACACAUAGAGAAGGGGGGGGGGGGAAUGAGCCGAAGCUCCUUGAACACUUGACACGUAAGCUCGUCCAAAUGUCUCAUUGGUCAAGCUCCAUGUUGUUACCAUGUCACAUCCUAGGCAUCAAUUGGUCUGCCACCUUGCAAACUGUCCUAGUGGAAAAGGUGAGAUUUAACUCCCAACUACUACUGCAGAAGACGUCUUAUCAAUCACAUCUCAUGUGACUCCAUGUUGUCACGUGAAAAAUCGCAUGAGGAGCCUUUGAAGUGGUACAACUACCUCGGAUAUGAAAGUCUCGCCUACCGAGGCUAAAGGUUGUGGCCCUCUGACUGGCUUGGAGCCACUAGUUGAAACUUCUAUUAUAAAUUAAAUCGCCUUGAAGAUAUUUGUCGACGAGGCGUUCGGCUAUGCCUUUAAUGUCUCAAAAAACAAAGUUUGACAAUGAGAUAGGUGUUCCUUCAUCGCCUUAAAGGAUGUUAGAUAUGGCCUCGAAAGUACUUACAUGGCAUUUUUCUUAGCUGGACACCAUGUGACUUGCCUCAUAGGCAGAAUCAUAACUAACCAGAUUUUAACUUUUUUUAAAAGAAAAUUGAUAACUGUUUUUCUAAUUCACAAAAGAAUGAAUUCAGGUGAUAAGAGUGUUACCAUGAGGGAUGGCUUCGAGAUACGGUUCCAAUCAAAUAGAUCAUCAAGUUAGAUACUUUAUCGCUAACAAGGUAACUUAUUUUAGGGUAAAAAAAAUGGAUGAGUGGACUUAAUAGUUAAAGUUGCUUGUAGAUAUGAGACAAAUGAAUCUAAAGAUUAGAUUAUGGUUCAUUUCUAAUCUUGGCAUUUAUUUUAGAGGUUGUGUUUGGUGUAACAUAGGGAUGUUCACAUCCCUCACAUGCUGUGGGACCCGACUGACACCCCUCACCUUGGUCCCAUCUCAUCUAAGGGCUGUGGACGCCUCUAUGUACAUAUUUUAUAUACAUCAUGACUUAUUCUUCAUUUUAUUACACAACAUAUGAGGAAAAAAAAACAUUUUUGUAUUAGUUUUAGAAAAUGAGGCAAUGUGUAAAGUGUCAGAAAGGGCUGCAUUCACGCACUUCAUAGUCAAAAUCACUUGUAGAUAUGAAACGAGUGAAUCAAAAGACAUUAUUUGGUUCAUUUUAAAUCUCGAUGAAGUCCAUUUUAUUGCACAACAUAGGAGGAAAAACGCUUUUUGUAGAUAUUUCAGAAACAUGGUAACGCUAAAGUGUAAGAUUGGGCUUGAAAAGAGUGGAUCGUGGAUGGAUGCAAACUUGAUUGUCAAAGUUGCUCAUAUAUACAAGAUCAAUGGAUCAAAAGACUAAUUAUUUCAUUCUAAAUAUAAAUAAUCCAUUUUAUUAAACAACAUCAAAUGAAAGAAUCAUGUUUGUAUUGAUUUCGGAACAUAACAUAACGUGUUUAAUGGUAAGAUCAAGCUUGAAAAGAAUGGACGGGCAUGAUAUCUAAUAUCCAAAGUUGCUUAUAGAUAUAAGACGAAUGAAUCAACAGAUGAUAAGUUGGUUCAUUUUAAAAUAUCGUUAAACAAUUUUAUUGCAUGAUACAACAAAAACAAAAAAAACAAAAAAACAAAGAAAAUCCAAUGCCCUUUUUAAGAAAACAAGUAGAGUUGGAUAAAUCAGGCAUUCUUUAAGGAUUCUAUAUUUAUUAUAAGAAAAAAUGACAUGAUUUUUCAGUUUCAAUAGUAUAAAUCACUAAAAAGCAAAUAAAAACAAAUAGUGAUUAUAAUAAAUUUCUAUUGGUUGUUUGGUUAUUUCUUAGCAUUCUUUGUUUUGCUAGUUUUAAAAAUAAACGAAAUGACACCAUCAGGGCGGGUUGGAGCUCCCUACGUUUGCUAGAUUUGACAUAGAUAUUAUACCGUGGGUCAUUAUUUUUGACAGAUUUUUUCUGUACGAACAGCAAAAUACCAGUAAUUUUAUGUGGCUAUAAACAUGGGGAUUAGAAUAGAAAUUUAUUGGUUAGUCAGUGGCUAGUGGUCCAAAGUUACAAUAAAGUCAUACAAAAACAAAUACUGAUUUGAAAUGUAACAAGCAACCAACCUCAAAAAUUUGAAUCACUAAUAUAAAAAGUGAAUUCUUUUACUCUAUAUAUAUAUAUAUAUAUAUAUAUAUAUAUAUAUCUGCCCGAGUUCAAAUAUAUUGACAAUAAAACUUAUUAGUCUGUUUUAAUUCUAUUAGAAAAUCUAACAAUGAUGAUCAAAGCGAAUGUAGACUAAAUGUUGCCUGCUAUGGACGAAAAACGAUUUGCAUCGCUUUUUAAUAAAUUUAGUGCAUCCGGCCAAACAUAAUGAUGUAAAAGUUUCAAGUAUUUAGACCUUAAAAUUGUGUGUGUGUGUGUGUGUAUCAAUCAAGAAGUUUCAUGUUCGACACAUUAGAGAUAGAGAAGCGGCCUAAACCAUGACCAAAGAAAGAAUACUCAUCCAUCUCUUUGAACAAUAAUUUUUAUUUAAUUCUUUCGAAUAGAACACGGCUACAUGAGAUUAUUUAGAUGCAUUAGAAGCGAAAAAAAAAAAAAAAACUUGGUCAAUAUGUGUAAAAAAAUUCGAAAUUAUUGUGGGGUCAUGUGAAUCCGCCCUUGAUCAUAGGUUUCUAGCCAAACACGCCAAGUUCAUAUUGUUAGGAUCAGUUUGAAAGAAAAUUGGUUCGAUUAAAGACGUGAACUACCUUGACCCAUAGUUAAUUGAUUUUCAAGUUGGAUGACUAACAAGUUUAGCAGAUUUGUUAUCGAUAAUUAAUGAAUAGUCAUACAUGUUGAUUAUUGAUCAAUGAUAAUUGUGAUGGCCACAUAUGUUAAUUAUUAGAUACUUGGGGGAAUUUCAUGGUCCAAAGCUUUCAAGAAUUUGAUUUAGAACGUCGUAAUAGGCCAACUACUAUAUGCAUAAAUUUCUCUCGUCUUUAUGAGUUCUUAGAUAAAUAAAUAAUUUUCAAAUUUUAACGUGGGUAUUCUUGUAAUUUCACUCAUGCAAAAUUAUCCUCAUUUUUUUUCGAACGAAGGGCUGUGUUUCAUUACACUGUCACAUACAUAUGAUAAGGUUUAUAAGGUGGCAAGCAAAGAUAGGCCCCAAGGGAUAAGACAGCAAUCCAUUUACAAUCCUCCAAUAUGUGGUCAGAAGAAUGAACAGUCAUGGCUCAUGAGAUCCAACGGUCAAAUUUCAUCAAAAUUGAAUUAAAUUGAAUUGAGACCCUUGGAUGAAAAAUCUAAUAUUAGCCAAUCAAAAACAAGGGCAAAAUUGCAUAUAUAGGGUGAGGUAGAAGCACAAUAUUCAUUCAAUAAGGUCACUUUGUGUGUGCACCCAACAAGAACUAACAAUGGCUACCUCAAUGAUCUCCACCUCCGCCGUUGCCGCUGUCAACCGUGCCGCCCUGGCUCAGGCCAACAUGGUGGCUCCUUUCACCGGCCUCAAGUCGACUUCGGCUUUCCCCGUUAGCCGCAAGAAUGUUGACAUCACGUCCAUUGCUAACAAUGGUGGUAGAGUAUCUUGCAUGAAGGUACUCCAAUACAACUACUAGUACACUUGGUAUAAGUGCUUUUUUCGCAAAAAAAAAUAAGCCCCUAAAAUAAUUUAAGUCGAAAAAAAUAAUUUCUAUUCGGAUAAUUGUACAAGUACGUUUGUAGGAUUACUAUGAUUUUGCUUAAUUUGAGAUUAGAUAUUCAACAAAUAUCAUUAUAUUUUGCUAUAUGUGGGUGGUUUAAUUAAUCUGCAGGUGUGGCCACCACUUGGUUUGAAAAAGUUUGAGACUCUUUCGUACCUUCCCGAUCUCACUAGGGAACAACUCCUCAAGGAAGUCGAUUACCUUCUCCGAAUGAAAUGGAUUCCUUGCCUCGAAUUCGAGUUGGAGGUAAAUUCUCUAAACCUUCUUUAUUCAACUCGAUUGGACUAGAUAAAUAAUAAUUGACAUAUUUAGCCCUCCUUUGAUUCUGAUUUUUCAAGUCAAAAUUUUUUUACCGUUAUUUAUCAUAGUCAACUAUCGUUUUUGACUUCUUCAUCCAUGGGUGGGAUCCACAUUUUAAACUAACGGUCAAAAAAUCAAUUCUCAUAAUCGGCACCAAACGGACCCUUAUUUUGUAACAUUUCGUAUAUUCAUUGAUUGAUGUGAUCUAUUUGCAGCACGGGUUCGUGUACCGUGAGAACCACAGGUCUCCGGGAUAUUACGAUGGACGAUACUGGGUUAUGUGGAAGCUACCCAUGUAUGGAUGUACGGACCCAGUGCAGGUGUUGAAUGAGUUGGACUUGUGCGUCAAGGAAUACCCCAAUGCCUUUGUUAGGAUCAUUGGAUUCGACAACGUGCGUCAAGUGCAAUGCAUCAGUUUCAUUGCUUUCAAGCCACCAGGACGCGCCUAAAAUGGCUCUCAUUUAAAGACUAAGGGCACUGACUUUUAUAAUUCGAAAAAUUAACCUAAGUAGCAAAUAAGGCUAGAAAGAAUAAGAAAGAGGCAUCAAUUGCUACGACUAAACCACAUUUCAAAAAAUAUACAUUGGUAGAGAGAGAGAGCAAUUAAAUUCUACAUGGAACAUGAUGGUGAAAACCAAAUGAUACAUGCAAACGAGUUAACUCAAUACUUUUUAUGGGUCUGUUUGAUAGUGAUUUUGAGAAUCAAUUUUUUGAUCGUUAAAGAGAAAAAUGAGUUUCACCUAUAAGUGAAGAAGUAAAAAAUGACGGCUGAUUAUUGGAAGUAACGGUCCAAAACUGAUUUUCUUGGGUGAAAAAUCAGAACCAAAUGGGGGACUAUAUAUCUUGUCAAGGGUAAACAUACUAUUAAGAUAAUAACACAAAUAUAUAUGAAUCUAUAUAUAUAUAUAUGGACUGACAGCAAUUAAAAUGUUUUCAUAAAAUAAAUUUGGGUAACUUUGUCUCAAAAGAUAAUUGAAACAUCAAAAGCUUAAAAACAGAAAAAAAAAAAAUUAGACUGCUCUAUGGAUUUCUAGAUAUUGAAAAUAUGACCCUUCAAUUAAACUCAGUAGAUAAAGCGAAAAAUUGUAACCAAUUUCAAGCAUGAGACUCAGAUUCUUAAACCACUCGCUAUAUAGCGGACAUUAAAACGCUAAUCGUUACAAUUUGAUUGAAACAAUUUACCUUCACACAAGAAUAUGUCAUCCAUGUUAUAGAAAAAAUAUUGUGAACGAAGUACAAUGCAUAACCAUUUCGUUCCUUUCAUUAGGAUACACUAAUGUAGUUUCAGUUUAGAUAUGAGAACCUGUUGAAGGCUGGUAAGAAAAUUGACUGGGUUGUAAUUGAAAGCCCAACUUAUCCCCUAUCAAUAAAUAGAAAAUCUCAAUUUCACCAAAAUAAAAUUUUUAAAAGUUAAUGUAUAAAACAAUCCAAAAAACCAUAAUUUCUGAAUAGCCAAUCUGCCAUGGAUGACCAAAAAUAUAACUAAGAUACAGAAAAUCAUGGAAUUUGACUCUUUGUGGGUAUCAGUGUACACGUAAGCUCUUGUUCCCUGACAUGUUGGGGCACAUUCCACGAUUUACCUAUUUCACAAUGCUUCAGGGGCGUGGCGACAAGGACCCUUAAGGUGGGGGUUUAACCUUUAAGAUACAGAAAAUCAUGAUAUUAGAGAAAAAAGCACUUAUAAUGCAUAACCUAAAUGAUCAGAAAUCCUAAAAGUUUUCCUAAAUUGACCCAAAGCUAGAAGAAAAUAUCCAAAAGCUGGUGCAGAAAGUAGAAAAUACAGUUUUCUAAAAUGUCAAGAACCUUAACCCUUUUAAUUUUUUAAAAUUUGUCUUUACUUUCUCUACAAAUCAUCACAUUUACUACAAAUUUUCACUUCCCAAUCAAAUUUUUAAUUAAUUAGAACCUAAAUUUGCAUUUUCUCUCAUAUUUGUUUAUAUAGAAUGUGUCUAAACUAAUUAUAUCUAAUUUAACUUAUAUUUAACGAAUUGUGUUUAUUUGAUUGAAUAUUAGUUAUAUAUUUUUUCUUUCGAUUUCUUGAAUUGAUUGUUUGUAUCAAAUGCACUAUAAAUCUUUUAAACGUAAAUAUGCAUUUUUUUGUUAUGAACAAAAUAUUAAUAAGAUAAUUGUUUGAAAUCAAAUAGAUGAAAAACGAUGAGUAAAAUAUUAAUGAAGAAAUAUUUUAUAAAUGUAAAUAUGCAUUUUCUUGGGUCAAGUAGGUGGAGCUCUAAUGGAAACAAUAGGAAGCAAGUGGGACCAUCGGAAUCUUGUGGUUGCGUAUAGGGUAUAGCAAUAGUGUGGUGCCAACGAUUGAGGAAGAUAGCAGAGUUGCAAGGGUUCAGCGGAGGGAAGACUGCGGUAUCCAAGUUUUGGGGAUGAAGGAAGUGGUAUUGUUUGGGUCGGGAUUGUUUGUUGGAUGUGAUUUGGAUAGAUUUCAAAAUACAUUUUAAAAAAGGGUCAUGCUACUUAUACUUAUUUGUUCACACUUUGAUUUAUUCGGACCCAUCACCUCCUCUCAUAUGAGGGUCGGACCCCACGUCAUGACCCCCACAUGGGACCUGACCUCAUGUGAGAGGAGUGGUGGGAUCGGGUAACCCAAAAUGUUAACAAACAAGUACAAAUGACUUACUUUUUUAAAAAAUAAAAAACUCAUGUCGCAUUUAGUACCACUUGACAAAUAUUGUGAUAUAUGAUUUAUUUAAUUAUGUCAAGGUUACAAUAAUAUACAAUUUAUGGUCACGAUCACAUAUUAGUUACAAGAUAACACAAUGUCACAAUUAUAAAGAUACAAUUCAUGGUCACGUUACAUAUUAUUAAUCUCAUAUCUUAGCAGGUCACAAAUUGUCUAUUAGUUACAAAUUAUCCAAUUAAUUGACCACAAUCACGCUCAUCCCCACCCAUGCCACUCUACAACAACCAGCAUCACCAAAAUCGUAAUUGCCAUCUUAAAUACAUAAGACCCCACACACCACCACUUGCACCUCAAAUCCACCACCACUCCCAUUUUCAACCCAUCACCACCACUUCGACCCCAAAUCCACUACCACCUCGACCUCCAAUCUACCACUUACACAUUGGACGAACAAAUCAUCACCACCACCUCAAAAUCCACCACCACCUCGACAGUCAAACUAUAGUCACCAUAAUAACCACCAUAAUCAAAUCAUUGUCAUCACCUCCGCCUUCAACACACCUCAAAUUCACUACGUUAUCCACAAUCAAACCACUCUUACCACCACUACCAUCUUCAGCACACCUCAAGUUCACCAACAGAUUAUAAUAAAUCAUCAAGGCAGAAGCACAAAAGCAGCACAAACCAGAAGCAGAUUUUGACUUAAUUGACGAAGACACAUGGGCCGAAUAGUGGUGGAAUGGAUGGUGAUGCCAUGGGUGUAGGUCCGUAACCAUAGAUCCCAUCAACAACAAUUAAAGAUUUUUUUGGGCCUCAUAUAGUGUUGUGGGCCAAUCAAAGGUAGGGGUUGUGUUUGGGACGUGAUUCUAUCCAUAAAGUGGUAGGAAGUGGUGGCUGACGACCAGGGGCGGAUUCAGGAUUGGAUCCAAAACCGGGCUACAAAAUUUCAAACCGGGCUACUAUGCCCAAAAAAAAAUUUUUACACACAAAAAACAGGUUUUUUAACCAAAAAAAUAAAAAAUACCUUAAAAAAAAUAUUGGGCCUGAGAGGGGGGGCUACAGCCCAGCCAGCCCCCCCCCAAAUUCGCCUCUGCUAACGACUUCUGUGCACGUUUCUAGGCUCCGCCAAUGUUCGAUGCGCGGCGAAAAUGUCAAAAGUGGCUUGGCGCCUUAUUUAGCAGGUAACAGUAGUCGUUAACCACUAAUGCGCACAUAAGGGUGCAUAAUUAUCAUUUUUUAUUUAUUUAUUAUUAUUAUUCUAAGUUAAAGCUUACAUUUUGAGUUCUUCACUUUGUUGGUUUUAAAUUCAAAAUAGUCGCUUGAAACCUUGAAUAAAGGAAAUCUCCCAAAAUUUCCUAUUUAUUUAUUAUUUAAUAUUUACAUUUAGAACUUAUCUUUUUGUUGAAAACUUUAGAAAAAUAUAUAAAUUCCUAUAAUUUUGUUUUAGAUGUUUGGCAGGUAUUAUUUUUAAUUAUUAAACGAUUUUUUGAUUGAUUAAAAAUUAAAAAAAUAUUAAAAUAAGAAAAGUCUUUUUAGAUUUUUUUUUUUACGUCUAUGCCUCGUCUAAACUCGCAUAGCCCAUAAUUUGACUUUUACGUAUCAUGCCAUUGAGAAUAUUGCUUUUGUUGGUGUGAAGGUGAAGAUGGUAGUGAAUUUAGAAUGAAGUGGGGUGUGUGUUGGCACCUAAUUUUUUUAAAAUUAAUUUGAUCAGAUUAUUGAAAUGAAAAAAUGAAAAACGGGCCUGUAAUUCCGACUUCCCUAUCAUGUUUAAUGAACCUGGCUGCAAGUUUCACGGGCCUUUGCACCCUAUCGAUUUCGAUUCAUGGACUUGGUCCAAGUUACACGCUUCCAAUAUUGGGCUUGAAUGUUAGCCCAGUCUACUACACGGGUCCAAUAGAAAAGACCAAAGUGCUGGCCCAAUUAUCUCUUAUGGAGCCAACCCUUUCAUAAAUUUUAAUUAUGAAUUUUAUGGGAUUCAUAACUUUUUUAACUGCAUAAUUUAUCAACUUUAUUAAUAUUGACAAAAAAAAUAAAAUAAAAAUAAAUCUGAUUUUAAUUUACACCAAUUAAGCCCUUGUUUGGUAGGGAUUAAAAUUAAAUUUUUAGUAGAUUUCGAUAAAAGUUUUUAAAAUGUAUGGUUGAAAAGUUGUGAGACUUCUGAAAUAUGUGGUUAAAAUUAAUUGUUUGACUUCAAUUUAGAUUAAAAUCUAAUUUAAAUUAGUACCAAACAGAACCUAAAUCUUUAUGUUUUAUGCCACUAAUUUUUCACCAUCUUAUGUUGUAACAUUUUUUUUUCCCUAAAGCUUUAAACUCUCAAAAUAAAAUGGACUUCAAUUUUCAGUUUUUACUUUUAAUUUUCAGUUUUAAUAUUAUGUGUCUUUAUGUUAGAGUGUAACUUAUCUUUUGAUCGACUANNNNNNNNNNNNNNNNNNNNNNNNNNNNNNNNNNNNNNNNNNNNNNNNNNNNNNNNNNNNNNNNNNNNNNNNNNNNNNNNNNNNNNNUCGAUUUCAUAGUUUGAUAUACAACUUGAAAAUACAAGUUAAGGAAUUAUUCUCCUAUAUACAUUUUUAUACUAUAUUCUUAUACUUUUGGCAAUUCAAUAAAGAUUCGUUUUUCAUUUCCUUGAGGUUGUGAUCAUAGAAGGAGAACCAGCUGUGAGCUAUAUAAGUUUUAUCUUGAAGUUGCGUAGUGCCAAAAAUACGAGAGAGAGACAACACGGUUUUAGGACAAUAUCCUUGACGUGACUCUUUAAAACUUGAUUAUUAAAUCUCAUCUCAUGUUUAUGUUAUUUAAUUGAUUAUGUUAGUUGAUAAUAAAUCUACAUAUAAAUUAUCCAUUUUUUCCAACAAUAUAAAGUCAUAUUUGUGAUUCAUAUGUAGACAAUUCUUGUUGUUAUCUUUAAUAGGUAAAGUCAUUUGUGUAUGUUUUACUUGUCCAUUUUAUUCAGUGAUACAAAUUAUAAACACUCUGAAAACUACACUGUUAACUUAUUCUAUAUGUGUAUGUUUAUUGAAAUUGGAAACAUUGCAAGAGGAAAAUAUAUAAUCGGCAUCUUCUGUGUAUUAUGUGUGGUGCUUGCUUGGUAUACUCCGCCCUCUGCAUCCGUUAAUAAUCCAUUGAAAAUUUGAAAUUCUACAAGUUAGUCCAUAAACCAAAUUGUUAGUUUGUGGUUCCCUACCCAUAUCUGAUAGCUAAUAAUACCUCUUCUGUUUCUCUGAAUAAGUUUGAUGAUGCAUUACAGACUCCUAUAUGGUCAAAACGAUUUCUCAUGAGUUUUGUCUUGACUAAUUUACUUUCCAAAUGUUAUUCCUGGUUCCUAGAAAGUAUAUGGACAUAAAUUUGGAAAAUUGAAUUGCUCCUAGUAGAUGUGAAGACUACUGGUUGUUAUUAUCAAAAAAAAAAAAAAAAAAAAAAGAAGAAGAAGAAGACUUCUAGUACUUGUAAAAACCUCUAACUGAUAAGAUUGGUUUGAGAGGGCAAACAAAUAAGUUUGAGAAUGACUGUGUGUAGAAUAAAUUACAAUACUUGAAUUUUGCUCAUGAAAGCUCCAUUGGCCUUGACCUAAACAAAUGGUAUGUUUGGUUGGGAUAGAUUAUUGAGAUUUGUCGUUCAAUGUGAGAGUGAAUAAUUUUUUACGCAUUGAGCAACAAUGCAACAAGUAAAUAAAAAAGAAAUUAAGACAAUAAAUAGAGAAGUACUACUUCCAUGUAUAAAGGAAUUAAUGCAAAAAAUUAUAACAUAAGCUACAAACCUCUAAAGCUGGGUAGUCUAUGUCUGUCGAUCUACACCAGUGUCCUAAUCUGUCGUGGUAGGUCAGAUGGUCCAUACUCUUGAUAGCGCCGGUGAUCCCAACCCUCUGAAGCAAGCGAUUCUGCAAUUCUGUAGAUGUGGAAAACCACAUCUUUGUCAAAGGAGAUGAGGUCUUUGAUCUAUCUAAAAGUGCCAUGGAUCUUCCAUGGUCCUCCACCCCUGAUGAUGCAACGAAUAGUCACGAUCGAAUCUGUUUCAACCAAUAUAGUUGAUAACCUAAUUUGUGCCUGAGUGAUUGAGGAAAAUGGGUCCUUUGUUGUUGUCCUACUCUAUGGGUGUAAGAACAUUUUAUGCACUUAUUCGAACUCCUAUUUUUAUAUAUUUAUAUAUAAAUUGAGUGAUUAUCUACUUAAUUUAUGUAAAUUAUGUUAAUACAUUUUAUAUGAAAAGAUGCUAUUUGGAGCUUAAUUGGAAUUGAUUUGAGGUAAUUGAACAUUGCUCGGAUUGUAAGAGAUCAAUUGGAAAUAAUAGUGGAACAUUCAAUAAAAAUUCAAAAGUUUUGGGAGUUAAAUUUGACAUUUGAGAAGUUUGAGGACUAAAUUACAAACUUCGAAACUUGUUUCAUGUCAACUAUUAUGAUUUUGGAAUGAAGAUGACUUAAUUGCAAAAUAAUAGAAGAUGAAAGACUAAAGUCAUGUGAGAAAAUGAGUCUAAUUGAAAAAUGAAUUUGUUUCAAUUUAUUUCUUAAAAUUUUUGAUAGAAACCAAUUUGAACUCUUUUGUGAAAAUCAAGUUGAACAAGGAUUUUGCUUAAAUCCCGUUCUAUAAAUAUAUAUCUUAAUCCAAUAAUUGAAGGGGGUUUUUUGGAUUUCAUUAGACGCAUACAUGUCAACCUAUGAUUGAUUAUAACCUUAAAAUUUUGAUUAUAAACAAGUUAAUCUUGUUUGUUAACAAUUGAAUUUAAAGUAAUUAUAGUCUUCAAAUUCUCCAAUGAAAAAUUGAUCGAUGAUUGUCAAAAAAUCAAAAGCUAUUAUCACAAUCAGAUUCAUGAAGGAAGUCAAGAUCGAAAUCACAUAUUCAAAAAUUUAAUAGACAAACUUCGAAAUAAGAUCAAUGAUUAGAUUUCUUUGAACAAGUGUAAAGGUACUAGUAUUUUGAUACUUAGCAAUGAA